RNAcentral lists this long non-coding RNA (253 nucleotides) under Elaeis guineensis (African oil palm). RNAcentral describes it as "long non-coding RNA (EGUI_LNC067097)". Lineage: Eukaryota; Viridiplantae; Streptophyta; Magnoliopsida; Arecales; Arecaceae. The record is from RNAcentral.
GCCCUCCAGGUCUUGUAACGUACAUCUUGUCAGUUGAAAAAUGAGAAGGAGGUUUUGUUACCUUGUCUGCGCCUUGCAUCGAAUCAUUGUCGAACUUCCUUCUUCUUCUUUCUUCUCUCUUUCUCUUCUUUCUCUCUUUUCUUCUUCUUUUUUUUUUUUUUUGACGUCGUCCUAAGGUCGCCGGUGGCCCUUUUAUUCAUGUUGAAUUGUCAUUUGCCGAGCUCCUUAUCGGCUCUUAUGUCAUUCGAAGGUA